GCGAGAGACGGGAUUGAAAAAAAAAAACUGAACAGAAGGAGCCUCUUUCAGACAUCUUUCCUAUGUAGCGGCACUAUGUCUAUGGCAGAGCAAGUUUGCAGAGUAGAAACUCUUUGUUAGGCUUAUCCGUUUCCUUGAUCUGUAAGAGGCUUUGAUAUAAUAACGAUAAAAACAAUAAAAUA
Long non-coding RNA from Bufo bufo (common toad), 182 nucleotides. RefSeq lists it as uncharacterized. The record is from RefSeq and is a predicted model, not a curated record. NCBI's taxonomy places the organism in Eukaryota, Metazoa, Chordata, Amphibia, Anura, Bufonidae. The transcript has 2 exons.